GAUGAACGCUGGCGGCGUGCCUAAUACAUGCAAGUCGAGCGAACAGACGAGGAGCUUGCUCCUCUGAUGUUAGCGGCGGACGGGUGAGUAACACGUGGAUAACCUACCUAUAAGACUGGGAUAACUUCGGGAAACCGGAGCUAAUACCGGAUAAUAUAUUGAACCGCAUGGUUCAAUAGUGAAAGACGGUCUUGCUGUCACUUAUAGAUGGAUCCGCGCCGCAUUAGCUAGUUGGUAAGGUAACGGCUUACCAAGGCAACGAUGCGUAGCCGACCUGAGAGGGUGAUCGGCCACACUGGAACUGAGACACGGUCCAGACUCCUACGGGAGGCAGCAGUAGGGAAUCUUCCGCAAUGGGCGAAAGCCUGACGGAGCAACGCCGCGUGAGUGAUGAAGGUCUUCGGAUCGUAAAACUCUGUUAUUAGGGAAGAACAAAUGUGUAAGUAACUAUGCACAUCUUGACGGUACCUAAUCAGAAAGCCACGGCUAACUACGUG
This 497-nucleotide ribosomal RNA is filed under the name uncultured bacterium. RNAcentral describes it as "partial 16S ribosomal RNA". It matches the Rfam family "Bacterial small subunit ribosomal RNA", at positions 28 to 507 of the family's 1533-position model. The record is from RNAcentral.